RNAcentral lists this microRNA precursor (89 nucleotides) under Canis lupus familiaris (dog). RNAcentral describes it as "mir-8799 microRNA precursor family". It matches the Rfam family "mir-8799 microRNA precursor family". The record is from Rfam by way of RNAcentral. RNAcentral also lists the same sequence under 1 other name. Lineage: Eukaryota; Metazoa; Chordata; Mammalia; Carnivora; Canidae.
GGGGGUAGCCCGGAUCCUGGGCUGUAUCCCUGGCGCCCUGUGCUCCCGGGCCUGCACUGUUGGAUUCGCUCCCAGCCGUGCAGCCCCCU